RNAcentral lists this ribosomal RNA (292 nucleotides) under uncultured bacterium. RNAcentral's name for it is "partial 16S ribosomal RNA". It matches the Rfam family "Bacterial small subunit ribosomal RNA", at positions 505 to 796 of the family's 1533-position model. The record is from RNAcentral.
GUGUCAGCAGCCGCGGUAAUACGUAGGGACCGAGCGUUGUCCGGAAUCAUUGGGCGUAAAGAGCGUGUAGGCGGCCACUUAAGUCCUGCGUGAAAUCUUGCGGCUCAACCGCAAGCGGUCGUGGGAAACUGGGUGGCUAGAGUGCGGGAGAGGAGAGUGGAAUUCCUGGUGUAGCGGUGGAAUGCGCAGAUAUCAGGAAGAACACCCGUGGCGAAGGCGGCUCUCUGGAACGCAACUGACGCUGAGACGCGAAAGCGUGGGGAGCAAACAGGAUUAGAAACCCCCGUAGUCC